Molecule: non-coding RNA, 3543 nt
Organism: Physcomitrium patens
Lineage: Eukaryota; Viridiplantae; Streptophyta; Bryopsida; Funariales; Funariaceae
Source: RefSeq, a predicted model, not a curated record
UGCUGCUCAAAGCUUCUUCAGCAGAGUUGGGUCCCGGUAGAUGCCACCGCUGGUCUAUUGUCUGGCCUGGUGGCCAUGUCUGUGGAUUGAUUGUGCUGUUGAGAUCGGGGCUGUGAGAUCAUCGACAGCGAUUCAAAAUCGUCGUAGUUCUAGUUGCCGGUUCUUUUUCCCCGUGUCUGUCGAGGGUUUUGGAAACUCGUUCUGGCGUGUUAUGACUGGCAAGCGUGGUGUGGAGGAGUGUUUUUUUGUUUUUUUGUUUUUUUGUUUUUCUUUUUGUGACUCGUUUGGGGUUAGGGUCUAGAGAUGGCGGGUGAAAGGAUUUUUGGUAUUUUGUUCCGGAAGUGGCCUCGCCUUGCGAUGAUGCUGUACAGUUUUCUUUGUUUUUGUAGCGGAUUGUUAAAUUCGUGAAGGUAUGAUGUCAGGGAAAUUUUUGUAAGGAUUCUGUGGGUAAGAUGUCAGGUUCUUGUUUUGUGGUGUAUAGAAAUGGGUUGCCGAUCAGGGAAUUGAGAUGUUAGAAUUGUGAGUGGGAUCGGUGUGAAUAAUCGUCCGGAUUAUUUUUUUGUUUUUCAUCAUGUUAUCUGCAAUACACUAUACUUUUAAAGUGGACUGCAAAACCGGCAUAGCUUUCUGGUUAGUGUUUAUGAAGAUGCACAAGUGUACAGCCAUUUAGAACCGGCAGAUUGCUUGUUGUUCUAGGACUUGUUUUUGGUGGAUGGAGAGAUUUAUUCAUUUUGCUGCAAUUAAGCGUCUCCUAAGGAUAUUUUUCAACACUAGUGGGGAGGGAAGUCGUUUACACAGUACGAUGCGGAGCACGUACACAUCGUAACCAUUCUGUAAGCGGAUUUCAGUUCGGAAUGGCACAACUAGCAAUUUGCUGGAAGUUCGAGGGUUUCGGAUAGGUUCUGCCCAGCGUCCAUUCGUGUGAGAGAGUCCUUUUGCGUCGAGACGUUGAAAUGGCACGCUCGUUUGUGGGGCUACAUCUUAGAACGAAAAGAAACAAGAAUCAUAAUAACAAGUACGGCCAUGCUUGCGAUGAGCAGCGCGACCUUAAACUAACUUAGAAUUCUCAUAAUCAGGGCAAACUAAGGUGGAACCGACAGUGAGACGGGCUCAUGAUAAAAAGAUGGAGUCCGGUAAGCUGCAAGUGUGAGCUUGCUCAGUCGAGGCCUUGCUAAAACAGACGUUGAAAGUGAACCUCAUAUUCAUCAACUACACCAGUACCCUCUCUGAUACGGGCGUGCUCAUCUGCACUCAUCUAAACGAAAAAAAACAGGGCUAUAGAUCCCUCUGACGCACUUUUCCACAUUUAUGGGGGAAAACAAUCCCAGUGGCGGGUUGGUGACGGUUUGGGACGAGGAUUGAGCUUCAGAUGAAGAGUUCGUACGGGACGUCAUUUGUUGUCAAUGCUGACACAUGGAGUCUGUCCCGCUGUUUAGUGCAGAUGAAUUAGCAGAGGCUCCUUACCUUGAAUUGCUUUCGUUUCAAAUACUUUUCCUUCUCAGUUGUCGGAAGCUGAAACGCUGGCGCCGACUUCACAAAAUCCCGAUGCAGGCGAAAAACUGUCCCCCCUAUAAUAUCUGAAUCAUUCGGAUUGAGGUUGCUUGGAGUGAAAGGGAGUAUCAUAACUACAAAUUAGGGCUCCGUGGUUAUCCCCUUCUUUGCAUCGUCCUUUGUGCAUGGUCUAGCCCAAGCCUCAGCCUGACUCAGCUGUGCCGCCUCCUGCUUCUUUGUGCUAUCUUUACAUGCGUUCAUGCAAUAAUUCGCAAGGUUGAGAUGAUCAUGAACGGGUAAAUGAGGCCCACUGGAAUUUCUUCAUUGCCCUGAGUAAGUGUCCAAAAUGCUCUCAGCAUUUGCUCUUUAUUCCGAAUGAGUUUCACACAAGUAUGGGAGUAUACGCACCUACGACUCUGAAGCCUACAUUGGUCUGAAAAAAAUCUUCGCAGGAAGUACCAUGAUGAUGAUCGUAUAUCUCAUUGCCGAGCACUUUUUGGCUUUGGAUCUGCCUUUGGUGCUUGGAGCGGUUCAUAGAUGGCGAGAUGCGCCUACAACAAUUGGCCCAAUGGCUCCGGAACGGUGGGAGGCGCUACUGGGUAUCUGAACACGUUCGCUCUGGGACAUGAAGCCAUGACUAUGGCGCUGAGCGUCUCUCUAUUUCUGGGCGGAGCGGCAUGUGGGGGCGUGUUGGCAUGUCAAGUGCCUGUCUGUGCAGGGAAACUGUACUGUGAGGAACUGGUGGUGGAGCCUUUCUGACAAUUACCACUGCCGUAACCAACCUGUGCUCACCCAAUCCUCCAAAGCGUGUAAUGCUCCCAGGCAUCACCUCUGCCUGCCGACGCCCGUCCUUGUAACCUUCGCUAGACGUGAAGAUGGUACAAUACCAGACCUUUGUCGACCUAGAAUUUCGGUUGCAUGUCGAAUGGAUGCUCAACCAUAAAAAAAUCGAGAUCUGUUUCUCACUCGCUCUGUUUCUCGAUAGCUACUCACUCAAGUGAAGCGAGACCCAUGAGGUAGAAUGUAACCGCCAGAAGCCGCAUUUGCACCGAAACCAUUCACUGGUUCUGCAGCUUGAUCGCCAAACAUAGAUAUCUCGCUAGGGAUUAUGGCAGGAAUCACUACUCUGAUGACUAGAACUUUCAAUUUCUAACCGAUUAGGGUUGAUAUCAAAUGCAUCAGUAAUGCUUACCUCUUAGGGGUUGAUGCGAGAUCUUUUGCCAUUAACAGAUCUACAGGAUUGUUGAACUUGAGAGUAUGUUUUGACAGGAUGUGCAGCUUUACGGAAUUGUGAGCAAUCUCGGAAACGCAACACAAUCGGUUGCAGGUUGAAACUACGGGCAGAUUUCUUCACUUCGUUGAUGCUGAAGUGCAAGUCAGAAUAUCUGGAAUCCUAAUUAUUGCAACAAGCUGCAAAUGCCCUUUCAAUGUUUUGUGGACAAUAAAUGUAACCAAUUUUCGGCAUCUAUGGCUUCAGGUAAUUGUCCGCAACAUGGAUUUGGCAACUGCUGGUCGAUCCUGCAAUGGAUAUGCACGUUCUGAUCACGUUGCCACUUCCACUUCUCCUUACAAAUCCAUCUUAUCUUAUUUAUCUGAGCUAGUUCUUUCCAUGAUCUACUAUGUGCAGUGUUAAGAAUUGUCAUCACAGCUAUUGUCUCUUCAUCUGCAUUGUGUUGUGCGUCUAUUUCUGCGUAACGGUCCAUUUCCAAACUUCUUUGAUGAUCGAAACAAUACUUCAUAAAAAUGCACUUGAGAUGCUAUGGAGAGGUUUAUAUAAAAUCAUUCUAACAUCAUAUUAUAUUACUGUGUUUUGGAAGAAGUAAAAAGUACAUGAGUAAUCAAAGAUCUAACAAAUGUAAUACGUGAAUGAAUUUCGAGUAUUUAUUUGUGUAUUUACUUCGUUGAGCAUUUUCAAAACAGAAAAAUCCCUGAUAUAAUGAACGUUCUUAGGAUGAUGUCUACAGCUUGUUGUAGGCAAUAAAACACAGAUAAGAGAAUGUAUGAUUUACAUCCAAAUAAUUUUAAAUGCCAAAGAGCAUUUUGUUUUGAAGA